Long non-coding RNA from Capsella rubella, 748 nucleotides. RefSeq lists it as uncharacterized. The record is from RefSeq and is a predicted model, not a curated record. NCBI's taxonomy places the organism in Eukaryota, Viridiplantae, Streptophyta, Magnoliopsida, Brassicales, Brassicaceae. The transcript has 2 exons.
GUUUGGUGAAGACUUCUCCUCUUUCUUUCUUCUUCUCCGUCUCCUUUGUUCUUUUUCUCGCCUCAUUGAAAUUUUUUUGUCGCACACUCCAUUCUUCUCCACCUCCUCCGAUUCCGACUUCACGACAUCACACUCACUUCGAACCGUGAUAGCCCAGAAAGUUGACUGGUUUAGUUGCUUAAUACUUCUCCCUCCGAGUCGUCUCUCUCGCCUCCAUAUGUGCGAUUCUGAAUUUAAUUCAUAUAUCAAAGAGUUCUAUUCAAAGCAUAAUAAAAAGAUUCAUGUGAAAGAAGAGGAAAGGACAACUAUACAUGCCAAGAAGCUGAGCUUAAGAUGCUUAGGAAGAGUUUGAAAUUCAAAUCCACCCGAUGUCUACCUAAACCUCCUUAGGUGAUGAUUCUCCAUGUAAAUUUUUUUGCUGAUUGUUUGUUUCAUCUUUUUAGGGUUGUGGUGGAUUAUUCAAUUCUACUAAGGGCAUCUGGAAAUAUAACAUGAGAAAGGGGAGGAGCUCUCCGCCAUGUACAAAUCGCAAAACUAGGAAAUCUCCUAGCCACCGCACAACCACAAGGAACCAUACUUGCUACUUCAGCACCUUCUCCAUCACCCUAAGAACUUUUUGCCUUCUCUUAUGAACAUGUUAGAUCUUUCGAAUGUUUAAUACUGUGUAAGGCUUUGAUUAACAACAUUAGGGGUUUGAUUAGCAACAUUUUGGUUCAUCAAAUUUAUAUAAUUUCAACAUUUCUUUUUA